Molecule: ribosomal RNA, 22 nt
Filed under: Tricholoma myomyces
Lineage: Eukaryota; Fungi; Basidiomycota; Agaricomycetes; Agaricales; Tricholomataceae
Source: RNAcentral
UUCCCAGGGCCUUAGGAUCCUG